Long non-coding RNA from Octopus sinensis (East Asian common octopus), 92 nucleotides. RefSeq lists it as uncharacterized. Lineage: Eukaryota; Metazoa; Mollusca; Cephalopoda; Octopoda; Octopodidae. The transcript has 3 exons. The record is from RefSeq and is a predicted model, not a curated record.
AAACUGAAAGAAAACUAAAACACACAAAAAAAUAAGCGAAACACAGACGCGCAACUGAGUUGAAGGCAAAUUUAUUUCUGCCUUUAUAACAC